GCCGAGAUAGCUCAGUUGGGAGAGCGUCAGACUGAAGAUCUGAAGGUCCCUGGUUCAAACCGUACAAAGUUAUGGACUGUCCCGGGUCUCGGCA
This 94-nucleotide transfer RNA is filed under the name Lytechinus variegatus (green sea urchin). Its description in RNAcentral is "tRNA-Phe". It matches the Rfam family "tRNA". From Rfam's summary of the family: Transfer RNA (tRNA) molecules are approximately 80 nucleotides in length. The record is from RNAcentral. Lineage: Eukaryota; Metazoa; Echinodermata; Echinoidea; Temnopleuroida; Toxopneustidae.